CCAGGUUAAAUACCUCAUCUUGCUCUCAGCCCAGGUGAGGUUACAAGGCAUUCUGGGGAAGUGGAGCAAGGACUUCUGGGGAUUGAAAUCCUGGAAUCAAGUUUCCAUUUUUACACCUGGUAAUGUAUGUGAUAUGCUCACAUCUCUCAUACUGGAAACUAUGCUUCUAGAAAGAUAGCCACAGAGCUGGCUGGCUUUAGGAUUGAGAUACCAUCCUUGCCUGUGUGUCUGCUUGUAUGCCAUGUCAUCUCUUCCUGUACACUUUCCAGCAGACUGACUUGGUAGUUAGAGACAUGGAAGUAGGAAGGUCUUGGUUCAAAUCUUAACUCUGCAACUUUCUAGCUGGGCAUGAGUCACUUAACCCCGCUGAACCUCAGCUUCCUCAGUUAUACAAUGUUGACAAAAUUACCUGAAAGUAGCUAGGCGGCACAGUGGAUUGAGUGCUGGAUCUGGAGUCAGGAAGACCUGAAUUCAAAUACAGCUUUACAGACACACUAGUUCUGUGAACCUAGAUAAGUCACUUAACCCUAUUUGCCUCAGUUUCCUCAAUAUGUAAAAUGAAUUGGAAAAGGAAAUGGCAAACCACUUCAGUAUUUUUUGCCAGGAAAAUCCCAAAUGAGGUCACAAAGAGUUGGACACAACUGAAACGACUGAACAAUGACCAUCUUCUUUGCAUUCAUUUACCUUCCACUCCAGCCUAGCCAUUCUCCUCAUUACUUGUUAGAUAUGCCUAUGCAAUUUGGAGAUAGAAACGAAAUCAGACUUGGACUCUGGAGAACUGAUAUAUUCUCUCCAAACCUAUAAUACACAUAAUCAAGUAUGAUUAGAGUGAUCUCUAUCAGGCUAUUGGGUAAUUGACACAAACAAGGCACCAAAUUUCAGACCAGAGAUAAAAGAUAUAUGAAGUGGAGUGUACUCUGUCAAUAAUGAGGGGAACUCUUCAGAACUGACACUUCACACUGGCAGUGAAGGAUGCUUCCCAGUUGUUUGCAGAGAGGUGGUGGGCCAUUGCUGUGGAGAAAGGUUUUCCAGUAUCCCUUGGAACACAUCUCCUUUUGAAACAGAAACCCAGAAGAAGGCUCAGACAUGAUUCAUAUCACUUGAUCAUUCGGAUUUGGAUCAUUCAUUCGAACUCAGACAUUCGGACUCAGACAUUCGGACAGUCAUUUGGAGAUUCAGGCACUGACCUGGAGGAGAGACUGGAAGACAGACCCUUGAGUAGUGACCAGGAUACAGACACUCAGACUUCAUUUAGUCUGUCACCUUUGGUCACGUACCCUGUGGGAUGCUUUGGUGGUAAUGAGAUGCAGCUUAUUCAUGUUCAUAAUCCACAGUACACCACCAGAAGAAUGUUAAUGCUAAAAAAGAGAUAAGCUUUUGUUUCAUAUAGAAACCCGGGGUCACUAAAGGCUAAGUAUUCCUACUUUUUUCAAAUGAUCUUUGGCCUUCC
RNAcentral lists this long non-coding RNA (1450 nucleotides) under Monodelphis domestica (gray short-tailed opossum). RNAcentral describes it as "lncRNA (ENSMODG00000047580.1)". Lineage: Eukaryota; Metazoa; Chordata; Mammalia; Didelphimorphia; Didelphidae. The record is from RNAcentral.